GCGGCGGACGGGUGAGUAACACGUGGGCCACCUGCCCGCGAGACCGGGAUAACUCCGGGAAACCGGAGCUAAUACCGGAUAACACCGAAGACCGCAUGGUCUUUGGUUGAAAGGCGGCCUUUGGCUGUCACUUGCGGAUGGGCCCGCGGCGCAUUAGCUAGUUGGUGAGGUAACGGCUCACCAAGGCGACGAUGCGUAGCCGGCCUGAGAGGGUGACCGGCCAAACUGGGACUGAGACACGGCCCAGACUCCUACGGGAGGCAGCAGUAGGGAAUCUUCCGCAAUGGGCGAAAGCCUGACGGAGCGACGCCGCGUGAGCGAAGAAGGCCUUCGGGUCGUAAAGCUCUGUUGUGAGGGACGAAGGAGCGCCGUUCGAAGAGGGCGGCGCGGUGACGGUACCUCACGAGGAAGCCCCGGCUAACUACGUGCCAGCAGCCGCGGUAAUAC
This 447-nucleotide ribosomal RNA is filed under the name Geobacillus sp. G23C023. RNAcentral describes it as "bacterial SSU rRNA". It matches the Rfam family "Bacterial small subunit ribosomal RNA", at positions 95 to 526 of the family's 1533-position model. Lineage: Bacteria; Bacillati; Bacillota; Bacilli; Caryophanales; Anoxybacillaceae. The record is from RNAcentral.